This is a long non-coding RNA of Exaiptasia diaphana, 1303 nucleotides long. RefSeq lists it as uncharacterized. NCBI's taxonomy places the organism in Eukaryota, Metazoa, Cnidaria, Anthozoa, Actiniaria, Aiptasiidae. The record is from RefSeq and is a predicted model, not a curated record. The transcript is spliced from 3 exons.
CCGCCAUUUUGUGUCGGAAAUGCUGCAGUAUUUUACGCUUUGCGAUGGUUUUAUACACCUUUUCCAAGAGGUAGAUGUAUUAUUUUUGACUUGAUUAGCGUGGUGUCUACAAUAUUGACAGAAGAUGUACAAAGAGAGCUCUCUAGGCAAGGGAUUUGUUUGUGAUUCUCUUUAAAAGACCUUCGAUCAAGUCAAAAUGUUACAGUCUCGUGUACAAGUUCAAUAUAUCUCACACAACUGUGCAUGAACUAUUUUUUGGAUUCAUGGAUGAAAAAAUUGAAGAAGAAAAGAACAAAAUAAUAUUCUCUGGUUGGAAACUAUGCAAGUCUAGUUGUCAGGCUGACAUAUUUGUCAUGUAUCAAUCAGUUUUGAUACACACUACCUAGUUCACAUUGUUUACAAGGAAUAACCAUGGAUGAUCCAUGAUGCUGGAAUCAAAUUUACCUACAUUUUGUAAUUUCCACAAUUUCUGGACAGGAAUAGAAAGCUCACAAGGUUUUUGGAGUGUUAUUUUUACUAGAAGCACAAGAAGCCCGAGCCAUAACUUUGAUUAGACUAAAUGAUUGCACAUAAAAURAAACUGUAUAUUUCUUGACAAAAUUUGUCGUACACACGAAGAGGACCACUUACCAGCKGAAUUAAGAAGAUACAAUUUUGUCAAGAAAUAUGAAUAUAUACGUCGCUAUGGCUACUCAUGUCACUGAGAACUUUAUUUAAUUUUUUUUACUUAGAAGCUUUAUUUAAAUUUUUGAUGAAAAUAUUCAAACUAAUAAAUAUAAGUAGAAUGAAAUAGAACAAAACACCAACUUGAAGCUAUAAUAACUCUGUUUAUUGGACGUUUCGGCACUUCGGCCUUCUUCAGCAAACUAAUAAAUAUAUGUAUAUAUUUGUGUGGACAUUUGUAUGAUCCUUUUCUAAGGGAAAGGUUCUUGAGAAAAGAAUGAUAAGUUGGGUAAGGGGGCCUGGGAUCUAUGAAAGGCCUAUACAGUUAAAUUGACUGCGAUAGGUUCCCAAAAGUAUCUAAAUUUAACAAAUUGUGCACAGUUUUGUUUGACGGUAAAAAAUGUUCAAAACUCACAAAAAACCUGUGCAAUUUGUUUUUGUUUUUUUUUUACCAUUCAACAMAGUGUGCAUAUCGCGAAAAAUUUACAAAAAUGUGGUGAUAAAUCAAUUUACCCUACGCUUAUGAAAAAUUACUAUAUGCAUUUACAUUACAACUUAACUCUAUCAAAUGAUAAACUAUGUAAUUUUAUUGAUCAUUUUGGUACUUCAACCAAAUAUUGUGAAUAAACUGAAUUGAAUU